RNAcentral lists this ribosomal RNA (443 nucleotides) under uncultured bacterium. Its description in RNAcentral is "partial 16S ribosomal RNA". It matches the Rfam family "Bacterial small subunit ribosomal RNA", at positions 338 to 795 of the family's 1533-position model. The record is from RNAcentral.
CCUACGGGUGGCAGCAGUGGGGAAUAUUGGGCAAUGGGCGCAAGCCUGACCCAGCAACGCCGCGUGAAGGAAGAAGGCUUUCGGGUUGUAAACUUCUUUUCUCAGGGACGAGUCAAGUGACGGUACCUACGGAAUAAGCACCGGCUAACUACGUGCCAGCGGCCGCGGGAAUAGGUAGGUGGCAAGCGUUUGCCGGAUUUCCUGGGUGAAAAGGGCGUGUAGGCGGGUCUACAGGUCAGAUGUGAAAGCCACGGGCUCAACCUGUGGCCUGCAUUUGAAAUUGUAGUUCUUGAGUACUGGAGAGGCAGACGGAAUUCCUAGUGUAGCGGUGAAAUGCGUAGAUAUUAGGAGGAACACCAGUGGCGAAGGCGGUCUGCUGGACAGCAACUGACGGUGAGGCGCGAAAGCGUGGGGAGCAAACAGGAUUAGAUACCCUUGUAGUC